This 1470-nucleotide long non-coding RNA is filed under the name Calidris pygmaea (Spoon-billed sandpiper). RNAcentral describes it as "lncRNA (ENSCPGG00000001638.1)". The record is from RNAcentral. Lineage: Eukaryota; Metazoa; Chordata; Aves; Charadriiformes; Scolopacidae.
AUGAUGGAAAAUUUGGGGGAAGAAAAUGGAAGACCUCAAUUACAAGUGUGGAAGCACAUAGGUCUACUGAUAAUGAUGAGACAAACCAAAGUGACAGUAAGAAAGAAGAGAAUUUCAGAGCGUGAAGGCUCUGGAAGGAUCUGUUUGAACUUGUACGUUUGUUGCAGAAAGGUAAUGAAUCUGCUGUGGAAGAGACAUCAGCAUAUGCAGAAAAAAAACCAAAAAAACUGUAUUUUUGAAGAAUGCAGCUGCAUUUGGGUUUUCCAUACACUGAGAAGACAAGGUCUCCUGUAAACAAAGUAGUGAUUGCCCUAGUAAAGGAAUCUGGGCAAGUAAAAUGCAUAUAUGGCAGCUAGUAGACAGUAGACAAAAAGUCUGAAUGUUUAGGAAAUGGUUUUAUGAGAACAUCAAGGUACUUAUUUGAAAACAAGGCUUUGCUUUUAUAUCUGUUCCUUGAUGAAGGAUAUGUUGAUUGUGUAAGCUCAAUGAGAAUUGCUCACGUACAAGAAUCCCUCCCCAGUUACAGAAACUGAGAGCAAAAAUGCACUCUUUCCUCUUGAGCCGCCACCAGCUGUGCCUGCUGCUGUACCUGGCAGACUGGCAGCAGCACUCGAGCAGACCUGUUCUGAAAUCCAGCCUUUGGACGGGGUAUUCCUGUUCAUGGGAAUGCUAGCAGCAAAUCGACCACACAAGAAACGUGUUAAAUGGUGAACCAUCAACUGAGAGACUUGGGUGUGGUAUAUAUUUCUGAAUAGCUUUUCCUGGCUUUUCCUCAGAGUCCGUCCUAAUUUGAAAAAUGGCGCUUCCUUCAGAGCAGUGUAACUUAUUUCUGAAACAGAUUUAUUUUAGUUUCAUUCCCCCCCUCCUUCCCAAAUAAGAGCAUCCACUUCGAGUAAUCAAAGUAGCAAUUUCUUAAAUUCUUAUGUUUCUUUAGUUCAAAUGGUUUCACUUUUGGAGGGACUUGAGUGAAGUUUGAUGUACUUAAAUUUUCCACAUAUCUUUGAGAUCUAUUUUAAGUCACGUAGUCAAGCUGUCAAAAAACUGGAAAGCUUGUACUAAAAGUUGAAAUGCUGCUUAUUUGCCUCUGUUUUAAUACUUUACUUGUCCAGUGUGCUUCCCAAUCAGUUGACUGUAUUUUAUAUUAUGUGAGUUAAAACUUAAUUUGAAAUAAGAGAUGAGGGCUUUUUAGCUUCUUUCUCUUUUAAAACAUACUCCCAAGAGAAUGCUGGAGGCUUUUUGUAACUAAUUACCUGAUACCUGAGGUUUGAUAUUUGACAUGCUUAUGUAAAAUUAUGUGAUUCAAUAUAACUUUUUAAAAUUAAACUGAGAAGGCAUAGUUAAAAUUGAGUGGAGAAAAGGUUUUUACUGUUACUUCAAUAAUAAUAUAUAUUAAGUUCUUUUCUACUCUUAAUGUAAGUAACACUCCAGCUGUAAUGUAAUUCUAAAUAAACAGUUAUAUAAAUGGAUGCA